AGCUCAUCACAGAUGACUUUGUGAAGCAGAAGUAAGUAUCACCUGAGCUAACUGCGGCUCUCACUCGAGCAUCCUUUGUGUGCUGGUCUGGCUGAGAAAGCAGUUCCCUAUCCCAAAUCUUCAACUGGAGGGAUGGGUGCCUCUGACCUGGGAGUGAGUGGCAGUGGGGGGUAUGCGAGUGUGUGGGGAGCCGAAGGCCAGGGCGGUCUUGGGAAAAGGGAGCUCACGUCACCUGAGAACACGGUGUGGGGUGUGAAAACGGCCGCCAUCACCUUGAGCACCUGCCCUGUAGACUGACACAAGAAUUCCUUCUCGACACAGCACCCUAGGCGGCUUCUUCCUGUCAGUCGGAGGUGGCAUGCAAGAUGAAGCUCUCUUUGCUCUUCCUGCUUUCAUUUUGUGCUUUUCCUUGUGUUUUCAUGUUUUGGGUAUCAGUGUUACAUUAAAG
This 448-nucleotide long non-coding RNA is filed under the name Homo sapiens (human). RNAcentral's name for it is "non-protein coding lnc-CENPVL2-1:1". The record is from RNAcentral. Lineage: Eukaryota; Metazoa; Chordata; Mammalia; Primates; Hominidae.